RNAcentral lists this ribosomal RNA (515 nucleotides) under Rhodopseudomonas sp. MV5(w). Its description in RNAcentral is "bacterial SSU rRNA". It matches the Rfam family "Bacterial small subunit ribosomal RNA", at positions 123 to 672 of the family's 1533-position model. Lineage: Bacteria; Pseudomonadati; Pseudomonadota; Alphaproteobacteria; Hyphomicrobiales; Nitrobacteraceae. The record is from RNAcentral.
AACGUACCUUUUGGUUCGGAACAACACAGGGAAACUUGUGCUAAUACCGGAUAAGCCCUUACGGGGAAAGAUUUAUCGCCGAAAGAUCGGCCCGCGUCUGAUUAGCUAGUUGGUGAGGUAAUGGCUCACCAAGGCGACGAUCAGUAGCUGGUCUGAGAGGAUGAUCAGCCACAUUGGGACUGAGACACGGCCCAAACUCCUACGGGAGGCAGCAGUGGGGAAUAUUGGACAAUGGGCGAAAGCCUGAUCCAGCCAUGCCGCGUGAGUGAUGAAGGCCCUAGGGUUGUAAAGCUCUUUUGUGCGGGAAGAUAAUGACGGUACCGCAAGAAUAAGCCCCGGCUAACUUCGUGCCAGCAGCCGCGGUAAUACGAAGGGGGCUAGCGUUGCUCGGAAUCACUGGGCGUAAAGGGUGCGUAGGCGGGUUUCUAAGUCAGAGGUGAAAGCCUGGAGCUCAACUCCAGACCUGCCUUUGAUACUGGAAGUCUUGAGUAUGGCAGAGGUGAGUGGACCUGCGA